GUAGGUGGCAAGCGUUGUCCGGAAUUAUUGGGCGUAAAGCGCGCGCAGGCGGUUCUUUAAGUCUGAUGUGAAAGCCCACGGCUCAACCGUGGAGGGUCAUUGGAGACUGGAGAACUUGAGUACAGAAGAGGAAAGCGGAAUUCCACGUGUAGCGGUGAAAUGCGUAGAGAUGUGGAGGAACACCAGUGGCGAAGGCGGCUUACUGGUCUGUAACUGACGCUGAGGCGCGAAAGCGUGGGGAGCAAACAGGAUUAGAUACCCUGGUAGUCCACGCCGUAAACGAUGAGUGCUAAGUGUUAGGGGGUUUCCGCCCCCCUUAGUGCUGCAGCUAACGCAUUAAGCACUCCGCCCUGGGAGUACGGCCGCAAGGCUG
Molecule: ribosomal RNA, 373 nt
Filed under: uncultured organism
Description: partial 16S ribosomal RNA
Rfam family: Bacterial small subunit ribosomal RNA
Source: RNAcentral